UUUAUAUCUACAACUAUAUGUUAUCUUCUUAUUUAUUUUGAAAUUCUCAACAUAUAUACAAAAAUAUAAUGGUAUAUAAUAACAUUUAUUUCAUAUACUAUUUAAAAAAAUAUGUUAUUAGAAAACUAUGAAAUUUUGAUAAGGAAAAUUACCAAAAAUACCACUUUCAAAAUACCACUUUUCAUGUUUACAAUAACCACUUUUACCCUCAUUUUUAAUGAAGGGCAAAAGACAUUUAUAAUCCUUCGAUUAACUUUGAUUAAAAAAAAAAACUAUGGUUAACUAAUUUAAAAUUAAAACAUCAACUCAAAACCCUAAAUCAUCAACUCUAAACCCUAAACCCUGAAACAUCAACUCUAAACCCUAAACCCUGAAACAUCAACUCUAAACCUUAAACCUUCAAAUCUAAACCCUAAAACAUCAACUCUAAACCCUAAACGUAAACCCUAAACCCUAUAUUUUUCUGAAAUUCGAACCCUAUACCCUAAAAUCCUAAACCCUAAACCUUCAAAUCUAAACCC
This 521-nucleotide long non-coding RNA is filed under the name Brassica napus (rape). RNAcentral's name for it is "long non-coding RNA (BNAP_LNC017506)". The record is from RNAcentral. Lineage: Eukaryota; Viridiplantae; Streptophyta; Magnoliopsida; Brassicales; Brassicaceae.